This 253-nucleotide ribosomal RNA is filed under the name uncultured bacterium. RNAcentral describes it as "partial 16S ribosomal RNA". It matches the Rfam family "Bacterial small subunit ribosomal RNA", at positions 524 to 776 of the family's 1533-position model. The record is from RNAcentral.
UACAGAGGGGGCAAGCGUUAUUCGGAAUUAUUGGGCGUAAAGGGCGCGUAGGCGGCUUUGCAAGUGACGGGUGAAACCCCUCGGCUUAACCGAGGAACUGCCUGUCAAACUGCAUGGCUUGAGACCGGGAGAGGUGAGUGGAAUUCCCAGUGUAGCGGUGAAAUGCGUAGAUAUCGGGAGGAACACCAGAGGCGAAGGCGGGUUACUGGGCUGAUACUGACGCUGAUGCGCGAAAGCCAGGGGAGCAAACGGG